CUUUCUAACUCUGUUUUCUGGUUAAUGAAAAGAAAAUAGGGUUCCACUGAGUCUCCUAUCUACCUACUCCAGGACUUCUGUGAGAAUCAAAUGAGUUGAGGCAUGUGAAAACACUUCAUGAACAUUUGGUUAAACUGUAAAAUGUUUGCACCUGGCUAUAAGUAAGUUGGGUUCCUGAGCUAAAGAAACUCCAAGGAGGCUAAUCGCUAGGGGGAGGAAGCCAGGCUUACAUAUUUUAAAAUCUCAU
Pipistrellus kuhlii (Kuhl's pipistrelle) is the source of this 247-nucleotide long non-coding RNA. RefSeq lists it as uncharacterized. NCBI's taxonomy places the organism in Eukaryota, Metazoa, Chordata, Mammalia, Chiroptera, Vespertilionidae. The record is from RefSeq and is a predicted model, not a curated record. The transcript is spliced from 3 exons.